AUAGCCCCAGGAGGGUUCCCCUUGUUAGAUCUGCUGUGUGGGCCCCAGCUCCUGCUUUGUGGUGUCUCUGCUAAGGAUCUAAGCCCAUUAGUCUGAAGCGUUAGUGACAGGCCUGGCCCUGUGGCCCGAGCCCAGGCAGCCAGGCUAAGGCAGGGUGGAGCCUGGUUUGGUAUUUUCCAAUCCAGCCCAGGGAGUGGGUGGAAAGUAUGUGGGGACAGGGUUUGGAGGCAGCACUGCAAGUUGCCCCUGAUUCAUCCUUGGGAGCUCUAGUAGGGGGAACCUUGAAUGUGCCUGUGUACAGACUGUCUUGUGGUCACGCCUGUGUCCUGCCUUUUCUCUUCAGACUUUCCUGGGAGCUUCAUUUAAAUCGUCCUCCAUUCUCCGCUGGGCCUGCCACCUUUGAGCCAUUCCUAUGUGCCUGUCCUGGUCCUCACCUGCCUUUUUGCUGGGCCUAAGUAGAGACAAGUGUCCUAUCUCACUGGACCAGGGUCAAGGUCACUGAGGUCUAGUGGAGCAGGGCUGUGAGGGGUAGGGAGCUUAGGAGGAGAAGGCUGUCUUGUCUGCUGGGACAGGGUGGGCCUUGGCCAGGUUCAUGGCUGUGUGCAGGGGAAACCCCACAGGAAACGGGCCGGGCCAGAUGGCCGCCCUUCCCGUUCUGUUCUGUUCCCCAGGACACCAAUGUGCUGCCUCACUUCCGGAGGCAGCUUGGGGCAGGGCGGGUGCUGGGAGGCAGGAGGGAGGAAGCUGGGGGGUCUGUUUCCAGCCCAUUCCUGGCUGCACUAAAUUUUGCCCAGCUCCUUCAAUACCUGACUUGAGAAAAGAAGUGUCCUGGAUUGCUGGUGUCUUAUGGUGAAGGGUAGGGGCUACAGGGUAUCUUUUCCCUUUUCCCUUUUCCCAAAUCCUGUUGCUAUUUGGGAGUGCCCCAAGCCCAGGCUUUCCCCUCAGCCUUUGGCUCUCUUGCUCCUUGCUCUGUGGGCAAAGAUGUUCUACUGGCUUUAGGCAUGCUAGCUAAACCUUGUAGGCAAGGAGAGGACCCGUUUGGAGAUGUUAAAGAAGGAAUACUUUUAAAUAUGAAUCUCCAGACUCUACCAGGGAGAGGGUUAAGGCCUGGCUGUGGGACCAUGACAGAAGCUGGGGGGAGGCCCUGGCGGUUUCCUCCCCCUCUUUGGGCUUCUAGGAAACGGCGCCAGCUGGUGUGAGAUCACUUCCUCACCCUGCCUGCCUGCCGCCCGAUUUCUCUUCCUCUCUCCCUAGCCCUGUUUGGCCUGCCCAGCUGGAGAAGGAGGACAUGCUUUCCUUCGGCUGGUGUUCUCUACUUGUUGGGCUUGGGGGCCAGGAACACAGGAGAGUGGAAGGGAAAGCUGGUAUCCAGGAAUUUGGGGAAGCCUAGGUCCUUCCAAUCUUCCAAGGCGUGCCCUCUGCCUUGCCCAACCUUCACUAGAGGUCUGAGCUUCCUCUAUGGUCCUCGACCCAGCACCCCUGAGCCUUGGCCGGCUGGGGUUCCUGGGGAUGGGAUUUGAUUACUGCCACAAAUCACAUUGCCAGGGAUUUCCAACUGACCACUGGCCCUGCUGCUGAAGCUGCCAGGUCCACUACUAGUAUGCACAUGUGGGUGCCUAUCUGUGGGGCAAUGGAGCCCAAAAGAGUGGGCCCCCCAGCCCAGCCUGGCCUGAGGAGCAGGACUUAGCUGCCUUGUGAACAGAGUCAGCAUCAUAUUGUGUUCACAGUGGCUAAGUUCCGCCCCCCUUGCCCCCCUACCCUUGGCCACCUUGUUCUUCAUCCAGUCUGUCUGCUUCUAGGUCUCACUGGGCUCUGCCUCCUGUGCCUACUGAGCUGAAACACAGUUGCUUUGGAUAAACUGGCUCAGUUCAGCAGGAACAGGAGUCUGGCCUUCUCCUGGAGACACCUGCCCUAUGACCCUGAGAAUGUGGGAGGCUGGAAAGGCCCCCAGGUCCAGUGGUGGGAUGAAGGUGCUGCCUCCAACUACUACAGCAGUGCUGACUGUCUAGCUAUGUGUCUCUAGUGUCCAAAGAGAUCUGAGAAUUGCCUUGGCAGCUUCACGGCUUUGCAGUAAAAGACGAGAGAUCAGAAGACGACCUGGCUGAAGCUGAGAUGCAGAGACCCACUGAGCCUAAUGUACAUUCUAUGCAAAAUUUCAGCAAGCUCAAAUUGUAUCUUCUUACUUCUUAUUUUCUCCAGCUGUCCCAAUUUAGAUGAGAGACACUCAUCCUAACCUGUCCCCUAAGCUACAAGGAACAGCAAAGGACCACUCUUAUCUUAGUUUCUUCCUUUCUAUCCCAAAUUGUAGGCCUAGUAGCCACCUUUUAUUCCCUACUAAGGAUUGAUAUGCAAGAGACAAUAACUACAGAUCCCUGCCCUGAGACCAUUAAGGGCCCAUUUUGGGCUUCUAGAGUGAAGCUGUCAUAACCCAACAGGCCCUCCAGUUUCAUGGACUGUAUGGGCCCCCCCCCCCCCCAGAGCAGAAGACCUUUAUGAGAUUGGAGCCCAGGGGCCCAUCACUUUCUCUCCCCCUUGUGCAUGAGGCCCUGGGCUUCUCUCCUGGAGUCUCCCCUCCUAAGGCACCCCACCAACUUUGCCCUCUAGAGACAGGAGAAGGGCAAAGAACUUUUUCUUGAUAUAGGCUGUGCUUUGGGGGGUAAAGGAACACUGGUUCAUUCAAGUUACUCUCCAACCCCUUGGAGGUCAGGAUUUAUUGCUAUAAACUCACUGCUGCCUUAUUCUUGCCACUUCCAACUGAGGACCUAUUUCUGAUUCUCCCCUGCUUCCAUCCCCGAAGCGUAGGACAUCUUAGUAUUUGAAGCGACUCCCUCUAUUUUGAGUGUUCGCAUGUGACAAAGGUAGGAGCCUUUCUUCGUCAGCCCGUGGUUCCUGUUGUGAGAGACCGGCUACUCUGCUUCUACACAAAUCAGGCUUCAGGGCGCAGUGACUGGCCUGGUGUUCGGGACGCAGCGGGGCUCCUGGCCCCACACGAGGAUGCAGGAGGGACUGAAAAUCUAGAUAGGAAACUGGAAUUACUUUAGGGCUCGACACAGGCAGCAGAGGAAUGAUGUAUCCUAAACCCGAGGUCCGAUUAAAGUUUACUCAAGCUCA
Sarcophilus harrisii (Tasmanian devil) is the source of this 3111-nucleotide long non-coding RNA. RefSeq lists it as uncharacterized. The record is from RefSeq and is a predicted model, not a curated record. Lineage: Eukaryota; Metazoa; Chordata; Mammalia; Dasyuromorphia; Dasyuridae. The transcript is spliced from 2 exons.